GUACUACUGAAGAGUCCCAAACUAGGACGAAAGAAACACCUUUCCAGUAC
Molecule: non-coding RNA, 50 nt
Filed under: Trichobilharzia regenti
Lineage: Eukaryota; Metazoa; Platyhelminthes; Trematoda; Strigeidida; Schistosomatidae
Source: RNAcentral